CCUACGGGCGGCUGCAGUGGGGAAUAUUGGACAAUGGGCGAAAGCCUGAUCCAGCCAUGCCGCGUGUGUGAAGAAGGCCUUCGGGUUGUAAAGCACUUUCAGUGGGGAAGAAAGCCUUGGGGCUAAUACCCUCGAGGAAGGACAUCACCCACAGAAGAAGCACCGGCUAACUCCGUGCCAGCAGCCGCGGUAAUACGGAGGGUGCGAGCGUUAAUCGGAAUUACUGGGCGUAAAGCGCGCGUAGGCGGUCUGAUAAGCCGGUUGUGAAAGCCCCGGGCUCAACCUGGGAACGGCAUCCGGAACUGUCAGGCUAGAGUGCAGGAGAGGAAGGUAGAAUUCCCGGUGUAGCGGUGAAAUGCGUAGAGAUCGGGAGGAAUACCAGUGGCGAAGGCGGCCUUCUGGACUGACACUGACGCUGAGGUGCGAAAGCGUGGGUAGCAAACAGGAUUAGAUCCCGUGUAGUC
RNAcentral lists this ribosomal RNA (464 nucleotides) under Vreelandella stevensii. RNAcentral describes it as "partial 16S ribosomal RNA". It matches the Rfam family "Bacterial small subunit ribosomal RNA", at positions 338 to 795 of the family's 1533-position model. Lineage: Bacteria; Pseudomonadati; Pseudomonadota; Gammaproteobacteria; Oceanospirillales; Halomonadaceae. The record is from RNAcentral.